This 301-nucleotide ribosomal RNA is filed under the name uncultured bacterium. Its description in RNAcentral is "partial 16S ribosomal RNA". It matches the Rfam family "Bacterial small subunit ribosomal RNA", at positions 509 to 807 of the family's 1533-position model. The record is from RNAcentral.
CAGUAGCCGCGGGAAUACAGAGGGUGCGAGCGUUAAUCGGAUUUACUGGGCGUAAAGCGUGCGUAGGCGGCUUCUUAAGUCGGAUGUGAAAUCCCUGAGCUUAACUUAGGAAUUGCAUUCGAUACUGGGAAGCUAGAGUAUGGGAGAGGAUGGUAGAAUUCCAGGUGUAGCGGUGAAAUGCGUAGAGAUCUGGAGGAAUACCGAUGGCGAAGGCAGCCAUCUGGCCUAAUACUUACGCUGAUGUACGAAAGCAUGGGGAGCAAACAGGAUUAGAUACCCCAGUAGUCCCUGUCUCUUAUAC